AGCUUUUACGUGAUGUAAUAUUCGGAUGUUAACCAUAUACUCUCCGAGAGCGCAAAACCGUGUGGAGAUUUCCGUUGCCUUCCUUCUGAUUAAAGC
Molecule: small nucleolar RNA, 96 nt
Filed under: Oidiodendron maius Zn
Lineage: Eukaryota; Fungi; Ascomycota; Leotiomycetes; Myxotrichaceae
Description: Small nucleolar RNA Z13/snr52
Rfam family: Small nucleolar RNA Z13/snr52
About the family: Z13 or snr52 is a member of the C/D class of snoRNA which contain the C (UGAUGA) and D (CUGA) box motifs.
Source: Rfam by way of RNAcentral